Molecule: long non-coding RNA, 4642 nt
Organism: Macaca fascicularis (crab-eating macaque)
Lineage: Eukaryota; Metazoa; Chordata; Mammalia; Primates; Cercopithecidae
Source: Ensembl
GUAGAGACAGGGUUUCACUGUGGUCUCGAUCUCCUGACCUUGUGAUCCGCCCGCCUCGGCCUCCCAAAGUGCUGGGAUUACAGGCUUGAGCCACCGCGCCCAGCCAGUAAAUGCUUUUUAAAUCAAAUUUAAACACACAUUCACGUCUUUCUCAAUAAGGUGAUUCAUGAGUCAACAAGGUUGACUCUUAACAAAAGGAGUAAAGCUCUAAACUCCCCAAGAUUUAAAAACAAAAACAAACAAAAACCAGCCAUUUGUUGUUGUUGUUGUUUUUUUAAUAGCUUUCGGAUCAGAUGAUUUAGUGAGCACUUUUCACCACUGAUGCAUUAUGUGUGCAGGGGCCCAUGAAGCUUGAUGUCCAAAUUGAACAAACGGCCUUGGCUGCCCUGAACACUGUGGGAAGGAAACACCGCCGUUUGCCUUGCAGAUGCACCAUACAUGCUGCCGUUUGGAAAAGGCCACCUAGACUAAUGCCUUCUGGUGAGUUCACAUUGCCCACAAUCUGAUGUCCCAGCCUGUGAAUCCAGAACAGCCACUGUCAGCCCGCUCAGGCCUGUCCAGGAAUCAGCAAAGCCUUUGUCUGGGGCAAAGCUGCCUCCGCUUUCUUCGUGGCCAUUGCAUGGAAGGGGGUAACUGAUGGACUCCAGCGCUUGUCCUCGUCAGGCCCCGGCCGAGGGAGCUCAAUGCACUGAGAGGACCAAAGCCUGGCACCACCAUCUGCAGGCUCAGGCCAGCUGGAUCUGGGUCCCUGGGAGAGGCAGAAUAGUCUCCCCUCCUCUGUGCCUCAUAACCUUGAGCGCACACGUGUCUCCAAGCAUUUACCACUUGUAUCGAUAGUUCCUGUCAUGUCUAUUUCCAGGAGACAGAGCUGGUGCCAUUUCCUUGAGGGUAGAGAUCAUCUGGUAGUCACCUUCACAGUCCCAAAGCCUGGGGCCAUGACACACACGAAUAACAAUGAUGAAGACAGGAGGAGCAAGACAAAGAUGGUAAAAAGGUAGGCGUGGUCCACCUCCCACGUACCUCACCCUUUAUGGAAUAAAUAACACGUAAACAAAUUCACUGAUCAGACACAGGACUUGUUGUAUGCAGCCCUCUGCUUCCAGCCUCCUUUCAGCCUCUUCCCAGCUGCACAAACCUUUCACCUUCUCGAAUGAUCUAACCAAAGCACUGUGCUCCACGUUCACCACUUCCCAUUUAGGAAAAAAUAAGAUAAAGGGCUGACCAGUUAACAAAUUCUACCAUACACAUCUGAAAUGCUUUCAGAGCAGCUGGCUAUAUUUGGAAGGUCAGGGACACUGACAGGGACACUGAUGUCAAAUAGUUCCAACUUCCCUUCCUCCACUUCCCAGCUUUUAUGAGGCCCCCUUUCCUGGUGUUAUUCCUAAAAAGCAGGAUCCCAGUGCAAAUGAGAUCACAGUCGAGGACACGCAGCAGAUGCUUGUAACAACAGAAGCAGUCACUCUUCACCCCACUUCACAGUUUUGGGGAUGUGGAAUCCAUCUUUUUUUUACCAAAGGACGCCCAUGGUGCAGAUCUGAAUGCAACGGUCUUCCUUACCUUUCAUGAUAGCAACUUAAGGAAUAGCACAUAAGAAUUUUCUUAAUUCAUACAAAGUUUAUAAUCAUAUAGAAUUACUACUGUUAUUAUACACACACACACACACACAGAGUCCUCUCCCAAUCUUUUUUUUUUUUUUUUUUUUGAGACGGAGUCUUGCUCUGCCGCCCAGGCUGGAGUGCAGUGGCCGGAUCUCAGCUCACUGCAAGCUCCGCCCCCCGGGUUUACGCCAUUCUCCUGCCUCAGCCUCCCGAGUAGCUGGGACUACAGGCGCCCGCCACCUCGCCCGGCUAGUUUUUUGUAUAUUUUAGUAGAGACGGGGUUUCACCAUGUUAGCCAGGAUGGUCUCGAUCUCCUGACCUCGUGAUCCACCCGUCUCGGCCUCCCAAAGUGCUGGGAUUACAGGCUUGAGCCACCGCUCCCGGCCCCUCUCCCAAUCUUAAGACAAAAGGGUUUCUUAGAAACUAGUGUGGAUCUAAUGCAAUGCAAGUAAUAUUUGUGGCAUUUGUAUGCUGAACUGGAGGGAUAUCCUCCAGGCAUUUGCCCUUUAAGAACAAGGAUGGAGUGACCAGAAGAGAGAGGAAGAGGCAAUUAGGCCCUUUGGAGAAAACCAGCACUAAUGCUUCUGGCUGGGAGAUCCUUAAGCUUAGUACCACUUUUCUUUUAUGCUAAUGUUUACAGACGGCUUCUCAAUUAUGAGAACCCAGUGUGAUCAACACUCAAUCCCACCCAACUUCAACUAUGCUGAAGAGGCACUAUGACUCGGGACACUCCAUUUCUGAGUAUGCGGAGUGAUAUUCACUGUGAAGGUGGUUGUUGGAAACCAUUUACACAGCAACCCAAUGUGUUCCUAUUUCCUCACUUUCCCCACUUCCCAUUCUCUUCUCUUUUCUCUUUCUCUGUUUCACAUACCUUUCAAAGGCCUUCCCAUGCUGCUACAUGCACACAGGAAUACUGUUCUUAUCUGCAGUAGGCUGAAUAAUGACCCUUAAAGAUAUCAAGUCCUGAUCUCUGAAACCUCCAAUGUUACCUUAUAUGAUAAAAGGGUCUUGCAGAUGCUAAUUAAAUUAAAAUAUCUUGAGAUGGGGAGAUCAUCCUGGAUUCUCCAGGUAGGCCCUAAAUGCCUUCCCAAGUGUCCCUUUAUGAAAGAGGCAGAGAAGGUCAGGUGUGGUAGUGCACACCUGUAGACCUAGCUACAAGGGAGGCUGAGGCUGGAGGAUCACUUAAGCACAGAAGUUCAAGGUUACAUGAGCUAAGAGUGCACCACUAUACUCCAGCCUAGGCAACAGACCAAGACUAGGUGUCUAAAACAAAAACAAAAACAAAACAAAAGAAAGAAACAGGUAGAGGGAGAUUUAACAAACAGAAAAGAGGCCACGUGAACACAAAGGCAGAGAUCAGAGUGAUGCAGCCACAAGCCCAGGAAUGCUGGCAGCCACCAGAGACGGAAAGCAAGGCACUUUCUCUAUAUCCUCCAGAGGAAAUGUGGCCUUGCUCACACCUGGAUUUCCAUCCCAUAAGACAAAUUUCGGACUUCUGACCUCCAGAACUGUAAAAUAAUAAGUUUUUAUUGUUUUAACCCACCAAGUUUAUAGAAAGUUAUUACAGCAGCCACAGGAAACUAAUGAAUUUUUUAAAGAGAUACCACCCAACCCAUAGAUUGGGCAAAUUUGGACAGCCAGGUAUCCAUUCCAAUGAAGUGAUGGUUAAGAGAAUCGCAGCUGAUUAAAACUUCCCACUUCCAAAUAUGCAGAAGCAGAUACAUUAAACCCCAUAUAGACUUCCCUCCCCCAAAUUACGAAAGGGCUGUUUGUGUUUGUUAUAAGAAAUGCAAACCAACUGAGUCAUACCAUUAACCCUGGAGAAUCAGCUACCACUGUCACAGUUUCAGAGAGAAAACUCUAGCUAUCGGGAACAGAUGGCCCAGGACACAGCCCUAGCAACAGACCCAAAGCUCCAGGCAUACACAAGUUAACAGACAUGGACUCUGUGCCAAGGGGUGUACAAACUAGUGGAGAAACCAGCCUUUGAGCAGAUGGGAAUAGGUGAAAUAGAUGGUACAGUGGAGUCACUGAAGCACAGAGGGAGGCAGCCUCGGUCUGACACUUGAAAUUGGAUUUGCCUGCAAAUCGAAUAGGAAAAGGCCAUCCUAGGAAGUGCCUGUGCCAGGCUACAUGGCUAGAGUGGUUGGCAAAGGCAAGGCAAGCAGAAAACAAAGCCACCUUGGCAGCACUGAACAGGCCAUGCCCAGCACUGAGGCCGUAGGCAUCUGCAAGCCACAUGGGAGGAUGGGUGGGUAUACAGCACCAGAGCAAGUUAACCCGAUCAGCAUUUGGAAAGAUGAGUUUGACUGAAAAUGGACUAGACUGGGAAGAGAAGGAAGCAAAACUGAGGCAGGAACUUGGUUGCAAUGGCUACAGAUUGGACAGAGAUGCUCCAGGCCAGAAACAGCUGAAGUAAGGCUGGUAAGGACAGGUUUAAGUGGCAUUUAAGAGGCAGAUUGAUAGGACUUAGUGACAGUUGAAUGCAGAUAUUGAGAAAUAACCAUCAAGUUUCUGGCUUGGGUAGCAAGGCAGACAGCAGCAUCUUUAACUAAGUAGGACACGGUCAAGGAUGGAAAAAAUGAUUCAAAGGCAGAUAGAAUGUCAAUAGGAAGUCCAACUGUGAGCUUGCUGUGUGCACAGCUGUGGGUUGUCUGCAGGGUGUCUAAUGAGGUGGCUGCAUAAACAAUGUGCAUUUUGUAUAAAAGAACAUAUGUGUCUAUGGUGUGAGAGAUCCUGUUUGGGGUGCUUCAGUGUAUGGAUAACACCAAUAAAAAUGUGUGGAGCUCCUCCUAUAGUCCAGGCAAAAGGAAAGAAGUAGAGGGAGAUUUGACAGACAGAAGGUGGCCAUGUGAACACAGAGGAAGAGAUUGGAGUGAUACAGCCACAAGCUCAGAAAUGCUGGCAACCACCAGAAGCUGAAAGCGGCAAGGAAUUUAGACCGAAAGCCAGGCAUUGGGCAGGCAUAGGCAAACAAGAAACCUGUUGGGGGGAUGAGAGGGUCCUGGCUGGCAAAUCCAGUAUCACCUACACGAGUGGUGUCA